RNAcentral lists this microRNA (23 nucleotides) under Oreochromis niloticus (Nile tilapia). Its description in RNAcentral is "oni-miR-10649". The record is from miRBase by way of RNAcentral. Lineage: Eukaryota; Metazoa; Chordata; Actinopteri; Cichliformes; Cichlidae.
UUUUAGGUCAGGAGAUGCACACG